AAGGAUUUAAGUUAACCAUACAAACUAACGGCCUUCAAAGCAGUAAAUAAAGAUAGCUUUAAGCCUUAGGC
This 71-nucleotide transfer RNA is filed under the name Pheropsophus occipitalis. RNAcentral's name for it is "tRNA-Trp". Lineage: Eukaryota; Metazoa; Arthropoda; Insecta; Coleoptera; Carabidae. The record is from RNAcentral.